CUACGGGAGGCAGCAGGGAAGAAUAUUGUACAAUGGGGGCAACCCUGAUACAGCAACGCCGCGUGAAGGAAGAAGGCCUUCGGGUUGUAAACUUCUGUGACAGAGGACGAAGAAGAUGACGGUACUCUGAGAGGAAGCUCCGGCAAACUACGUGCCAGCAGCCGCGGUAAUACGUAGGGGGGCGAGCGUUGUCCGGAAUCACUGGGCGUAAAGGGCGCGUAGGCGGCCAUAUAAGUUGAAUGUGAAAUCCCAGGGCUCAACCCUGGACGUGCAUUCAAAACUGUAUGGCUUGAGUAUGGUAGAGGUAAGUGGAAUUCCUAGUGUAGCGGUGGAAUGCGUAGAUAUUAGGAGGAACACCAGUGGCGAAGGCGACUUACUGGGCCAAAACUGACGCUGAGGCGCGAAAGCGUGGGGAGCAAACAGGAUUAGAUACCCUCGUAGUC
RNAcentral lists this ribosomal RNA (443 nucleotides) under uncultured bacterium. RNAcentral's name for it is "partial 16S ribosomal RNA". It matches the Rfam family "Bacterial small subunit ribosomal RNA", at positions 339 to 795 of the family's 1533-position model. The record is from RNAcentral.